RNAcentral lists this ribosomal RNA (253 nucleotides) under uncultured bacterium. RNAcentral's name for it is "partial 16S ribosomal RNA". It matches the Rfam family "Bacterial small subunit ribosomal RNA", at positions 524 to 776 of the family's 1533-position model. The record is from RNAcentral.
UACAGAGGUCUCAAGCGUUGUUCGGAUUCACUGGGCGUAAAGCGCGUGUAGGCGGCCAUGCAAGUCGGAUGUGAAAGCCCUCGGCUCAACCGGGGAAGUGCACUCGAAACUGCAAGGCUAGAGUCUCGGAGAGGAUCGUGGAAUUCUCGGUGUAGAGGUGAAAUUCGUAGAUAUCGAGAGGAACACCGGUGGCGAAGGCGGCGAUCUGGACGAUGACUGACGCUGAGACGCGAAAGCGUGGGGAGCAAACAGG